This 387-nucleotide long non-coding RNA is filed under the name Androctonus crassicauda. Lineage: Eukaryota; Metazoa; Arthropoda; Arachnida; Scorpiones; Buthidae. The record is from RNAcentral.
GAAUACUUCAUACAAAAAGAAAUAAUUUUUCAGCUUUUGAUGAUCUCGGAGUUAUCAAUAUCCUCAGCUGUAUUGUCACAGGCCAACUUGGAGCAUGUAGCAGGAAUCAUCUCGACUUCAGCCACAACAAUCAGUCUCUUCUUACCUCCUGUAAGGGCAAAGCUAUUCUUGCCGCUUUCCUCAGAUCUUUUGUGCUCUCCCUCCUUUCUUUUCUCUCCUCUAUAUAGAAUUUUUCUGCAUCCAUUUUUGCGGAUAAGGGAUUUCCUGCAGUUAGAGGAGCGUAUUUACUCGGUUAAUUAGUGAGGAUCCUGCAUUGAUCUGACUUCACUUUUCCUAAUUUUGUAUUGAUAUGAAACUUACAAGGGAACAUCGCACCCAAUGUGUCUG